Molecule: ribosomal RNA, 279 nt
Filed under: uncultured bacterium
Lineage: Bacteria
Description: partial 16S ribosomal RNA
Rfam family: Bacterial small subunit ribosomal RNA
Source: RNAcentral
UGCCAGCCGCCGCGGUAAUACGGAGGGGGUUAGCGUUGUUCGGAAUUACUGGGCGUAAAGCGUACGUAGGCUGAUUAUUAAGUCAGAGGUGAAAUCCCGGAGCUCAACUCCGGAACUGCCUUUGAUACUGGUAGUCUAGAGAUUGUGAGAGGUGAGUGGAAUUCCAAGUGUAGAGGUGAAAUUCGUAGAUAUUUGGAGGAACACCAGUGGCGAAGGCGGCUCACUGGCACAAUACUGACGCUGAGGUACGAAAGUGUGGGUAGCAAACAGGAUUAGAUA